RNAcentral lists this ribosomal RNA (321 nucleotides) under uncultured Pseudomonadota bacterium. RNAcentral's name for it is "bacterial SSU rRNA". It matches the Rfam family "Bacterial small subunit ribosomal RNA", at positions 30 to 351 of the family's 1533-position model. Lineage: Bacteria; Pseudomonadati; Pseudomonadota. The record is from RNAcentral.
AUUGAACGCUGGCGGCAUGCCUUACACAUGCAAGUCGAACGGCAGCACGGGGGCAACCCUGGUGGCGAGUGGCGAACGGGUGAGUAAUGCAUCGGAACGUGCCCUGAAGUGGGGGAUAACGUAGCGAAAGUUACGCUAAUACCGCAUAUUCUGUGAGCAGGAAAGCAGGGGAUCGCAAGACCUUGCGCUUUAGGAGCGGCCGAUGUCGGAUUAGCUAGUUGGUGGGGUAAGAGCUCACCAAGGCGACGAUCCGUAGCGGGUCUGAGAGGAUGAUCCGCCACACUGGGACUGAGACACGGCCCAGACUCCUACGGGAGGCAG